RNAcentral lists this ribosomal RNA (597 nucleotides) under Triticum aestivum (bread wheat). RNAcentral's name for it is "partial small subunit ribosomal RNA". The record is from RNAcentral. Lineage: Eukaryota; Viridiplantae; Streptophyta; Magnoliopsida; Poales; Poaceae.
AUGGCCGCCUGCGCAGGCUGCUCCAUGCACCGUUGGCGGCAGAUCUCUCCGUCGGAAUCUCCUCGGUCAGCACCUACUCCCGAAGCUCAUGGAGGUCUUCAUCAUCCUUGGACGACUGCUCGCGGGUUGGUUCCUGAGCACCAUGUCUUCCUCUUCUACCUUUUGAAAAUCUCGAUGGCAGUGCAAGGAGUUGCAUGGGGCAUAUCCAUCGCAGGGUGGAUCAUGUCCCCUAUCAUCUCCAAGCUUCUGGACAAAGCCUUGUCCUACUGCAAAUUCGACAAAGAAGAGACGCUUCAACGCCUAUUGACAGACGUUCUCCCUCGAUUGGCGCUUACCCUAGAAGCAGUGGAAAACGUCCAUCAUAGGAAAUUCUUUGAGGAGAUGGUGAGGGGGCUCAAAUCCGCUUUCUAUGACAUGGAAUAUAUCCUCGAUGAUCUGGAGUACAUUCGUCACCAAAAGAAGCUGGACAAACUGAAAAGUCUCCAACAAAAGAGAGGGGAGAAAAGGGCGAGAACUGCUCGGAUGCUGAAGCUAGCACCUCAAACAAGGAGGUAUGUGAACCGAAAAUUCCAACCAACCCUAUUGUCGAGAGGUUAA